GAUGAACGCUGGCGGCGUGCCUAAUACAUGCAAGUCGAGCGAACAGAUAAGGAGCUUGCUCCUUUGACGUUAGCGGCGGACGGGUGAGUAACACGUGGGUAACCUACCUAUAAGACUGGAAUAACUCCGGGAAACCGGGGCUAAUGCCGGAUAACAUUUAGAACCGCAUGGUUCUAAAGUGAAAGAUGGUUUUGCUAUCACUUAUAGAUGGACCCGCGCCGUAUUAGCUAGUUGAUAAGGUAACGGCUUACCAAGGCAACGAUACGUAGCCGACCUGAGAGGGUGAUCGGCCACACUGGAACUGAGACACGGUCCAGACUCCUACGGGAGGCAGCAGUAGGGAAUCUUCCGCAAUGGGCGAAAGCCUGACGGAGCAACGCCGCGUGAGUGAUGAAGGUCUUCGGAUCGUAAAACCCUGUUAUUAGGGAAGAACAAAUGUGUAAGUAACUGUGCACGUCUUGACGGUACCUAAUCAGAAAGCCACGGCUAACUACGUG
RNAcentral lists this ribosomal RNA (497 nucleotides) under uncultured bacterium. RNAcentral describes it as "partial 16S ribosomal RNA". It matches the Rfam family "Bacterial small subunit ribosomal RNA", at positions 28 to 507 of the family's 1533-position model. The record is from RNAcentral.